GAGCGAACAGGAUUAGAUACCCUGGUAGUCCACGCCGUAAACGAUGAGUGCUAGGUGUUAGGCCCUUUCCGGGGCUUAGUGCCGCAGCUAACGCAUUAAGCACUCCGCCUGGGGAGUACGACCGCAAGGUUGAAACUCAAAGGAAUUGACGGGGGCCCGCACAAGCGGUGGAGCAUGUGGUUUAAUUCGAAGCAACGCGAAGAACCUUACCAGGUCUUGACAUCCCGAUGCCCGCUCUAGAGAUAGAGUUUUACUUCGGUACAUCGGUGACAGGUGGUGCAUGGUUGUCGUCAGCUCGUGUCGUGAGAUGUUGGGUUAAGUCCCGCAACGAGCGCAACCCUUAUUGUUAGUUGCCAUCAUUCAGUUGGGCACUCUAGCGAGACUGCCGGUAAUAAACCGGAGGAAGGUGGGGAUGACGUCAAAUCAUCAUGCCCCUUAUGACCUGGGCUACACACGUGCUACAAUGGCUGGUACAACGAGUCGCAAGUCGGUGACGGCAAGCUAAUCUCUUAAAGCCAGUCUCAGUUCGGAUUGUAGGCUGCAACUCGCCUACAUGAAGUCGGAAUCGCUAGUAAUCGCGGAUCAGCACGCCGCGGUGAAUACGUUCCCGGGCCUUGUACACACCGCCCGUCACACCACGAGAGUUUGUAACACCCGAAGUCGGUGAGGUAACCUUUUAGGAGCC
This 685-nucleotide ribosomal RNA is filed under the name uncultured bacterium. RNAcentral describes it as "bacterial SSU rRNA". It matches the Rfam family "Bacterial small subunit ribosomal RNA", at positions 766 to 1450 of the family's 1533-position model. The record is from RNAcentral.